GGGCCCGCACAAGCGGUGGAGCAUGUGGUUUAAUUCGAUGAUACGCGAGGAACCUUACCAGGGCUUAAAUGUAACGGGACAGAUCUAGAGAUAGAUCCUUCUUCGGACUCAUUACAAGGUGCUGCAUGGUUGUCGUCAGCUCGUGCCGUGAGGUGUCAGGUUAAGUCCUAUAACGAGCGCAACCCCCAUCGUUAGUUGCCAACGAGUAAUGUCGGGAACUCUAACGAAACUGCCGGUGCAAACCGUGAGGAAGGUGGGGGAUGACGUCAAAUCAUCACGGCCCUUACGUCCUGGGCUACACACGUGCUACAAUGGUCGGUACAGAGAGCAGCCACUACGCGAGUAG
Molecule: ribosomal RNA, 346 nt
Filed under: uncultured bacterium
Lineage: Bacteria
Description: bacterial SSU rRNA
Rfam family: Bacterial small subunit ribosomal RNA
Source: RNAcentral